Marmota monax (woodchuck) is the source of this 977-nucleotide long non-coding RNA. RefSeq lists it as uncharacterized. Lineage: Eukaryota; Metazoa; Chordata; Mammalia; Rodentia; Sciuridae. The record is from RefSeq and is a predicted model, not a curated record. The transcript has 3 exons.
UUGUGGCUGAGGAGAAUGGUGACCUGUAAACACAGACAUGUGGAAAGCCGUGGCAUGGGAGGGGACACCAGUGCACCUCAGACUGCCUUAGCAGUUAAGGGCCUCCUCCACAGCAGGGCUACCCAACUUCUCACCCUAGGGGAGGUUCAUCAGGUCCUCAAGGAGGAGAAAUCUGAGAAGGUCAUUGAGCCUAGUGCUUCAGUCUUUCAGGUUCAAAAGGAGAAUCUGCACUGUAACAAGCUCCCUGUGGUGCUGGGCUGGGGCCACACUGGAUACGGAGGAUUUGUUCUACCCCUUGGAGUCAAGAUGGAGAAACAUGGAACAGGAAGGUGAUGGGAUGAGCCAAAGAUCAUACAGAGAGGCUGUCUCUAUUUCCUUGCCUGUAUUUCCAUGUGUCUCCAUCACCAGAAAUGAACUUAGCCAACGAUUUCUCAUCUGCUCCAAGUUAAGACAGCCCUCAAAAGGGCCAGUGUGGACCAGCUGGGACCAGAGUGCUGGGUCAUAUAAGAUGAAAAUUCCAACAUGAACACAUUGUUUGCCCCAGGGAAUGAAUGAAGGCCCCAGAAGAUGGAAAGGUCAGGGCCAAGACAUGGAUAUCCUCUCCCCCUCUCUGUUCUUAGAGAUAAUAAAUUUGAUGAGAAGAAACUGAACAAUUAAAUGGCAAGUGAGAAUCCUCAAGAAGUCAAAUAAAAAUCCUGGCCAAGAACAGCCUUCUUUUUCUUCUUCUUGUUUUUAAAAACAAUGGUUUUUUGCAUCCAGUGGGGGCAAAAACAAAAAACAAAACAACAACAACAACAAAAAACCUGCAGUGAAUCUCUGCUUGACUUGCCUCCCAAAGAAUCACACCUGGGUAUUUUAGGACCUAAGUCAAGUUUGAAGAACUGUGCUCCCUCUUCCCAGCCCUCUCUUUAGAAAACUAAACCAUGGGGGUAACAAUCCUGUAAUUUUAACUGUAUUUAUAAAUCCCUGAUUCUUUA